UACGGAGGAUGCGAGCGUUAUCCGGAUUUAUUGGGUUUAAAGGGUGCGCAGGCGGCCUGUUAAGUCAGCGGUAAAAGCCCGGGGCUCAACCCCGGCGAGCCGUUGAAACUGGCGGGCUGGAGUUGGAGAGAAGUACGCGGAAUGCGCGGUGUAGCGGUGAAAUGCAUAGAUAUCACGCAGAACUCCGAUCGCGAAGGCAGCCUACCGGCGCGCUACUGACGCUCAUGCACGAAAGCGUGGGGAGCAAACAGG
This 252-nucleotide ribosomal RNA is filed under the name uncultured Bacteroidales bacterium. RNAcentral's name for it is "partial 16S ribosomal RNA". It matches the Rfam family "Bacterial small subunit ribosomal RNA", at positions 524 to 776 of the family's 1533-position model. The record is from RNAcentral. Lineage: Bacteria; Pseudomonadati; Bacteroidota; Bacteroidia; Bacteroidales.